GCCGGCCUGAGAGGGCGACCGGCCACACUGGGACUGAGACACGGCCCAGACUCCUACGGGAGGCAGCAGUGGGGAAUAUUGGGCAAUGGANGAAASUCUGACCCAGCGACGCCGCGUGCGGGAUGAAGGCCUUCGGGUUGUAAACCGCUUUCAGCAGGGAAUAAGCGMAAGUGANGGUACCUGCAGAAGAAGCACCGGCUAACUAUGUGCCAGCAGCCGCGGUAAUACAUAGGGUGCAAGCGUUGUCCGGAAUUAUUGGGCGUAAAGAGCUCGUAGGUGGUUUGUUACGUCGGWUGUGAAAUUCAGGGGCUCAACCCCUGACUUGCANCCGAUACGGGCAAGCUAGAGUUUGGUAGGGGA
Molecule: ribosomal RNA, 360 nt
Filed under: uncultured bacterium
Lineage: Bacteria
Description: bacterial SSU rRNA
Rfam family: Bacterial small subunit ribosomal RNA
Source: RNAcentral